This 490-nucleotide ribosomal RNA is filed under the name uncultured bacterium. Its description in RNAcentral is "partial 16S ribosomal RNA". It matches the Rfam family "Bacterial small subunit ribosomal RNA", at positions 30 to 507 of the family's 1533-position model. The record is from RNAcentral.
AUUGAACGCUGUCGGCAGGCCUAACACAUGCAAGUCGAACGGUAACAGGAAGCAGCUUGCUGCUUUGCUGACGAGUGGCGGACGGGUGAGUAAUGUCUGUGAAACUGCCCGAUGGAGGGGGAUAACUACUGGAAACGGUAGCUAAUACCGCAUAACGUCGCAAGCCCAAAGAGCGGGACCUUAGGGCCUCUUGCCAUCGGAUGUGCCCAGAUGGGAUUAGCUAGUAGGUGGGGUAACGGCUCACCUAGGCGACGAUCCCUAGCUGGUCUGAGAGGACGACCAGCCACACUGGAACUGAGACACGGUCCAGACUCCUACGGGAGGCAGCAGUGGGGAAUAUUGCGCAAUGGGCGAAAGCCUGAUGGAGCCAUGCCGCGUGUAUGAAGAAGGCCUUCGGGUUGUAAAGUACUUUCAGCGGGGAGGAAGGAAGUAGAGUUAAUACCUUCGCUCAUUGACGUUACCCGAAGAAAAAGCCCCGGCUAACUCCGUG